UGAGCUCGCUGGGCAAUCGCCGCUUUGCUGGCCCUCCGGGGUGGCCAAGGGGAGGAAAGUCCGGGCUCCAUAGGGCAAGGUGCCAGGUAACGCCUGGGCGGCGCGAGCCGACGGAAAGUGCAGCAGAAAGGAUACCGCCCGGUCACUGCGGUGAUUGGGUAAGGGUGAAAUGGUGCGGUAAGAGCGCACCGCGUGGCUGGCAACAGUCCACGGCGAUGGCAAACCCCACCUGGAGCAAGACCAAAUAGGAGUCCGACGGUGCGGCCCGCACUGGACUCGGGUAGGUCGCUUGAGGCCUGUGGUAACGCAGGUCCUAGAUGAAUGGUUGCCCCCGACAGAACCCGGCUUACAGGCGAGCUCAUUCU
Molecule: RNase P RNA, 365 nt
Filed under: Tamilnaduibacter salinus
Lineage: Bacteria; Pseudomonadati; Pseudomonadota; Gammaproteobacteria; Pseudomonadales; Marinobacteraceae
Description: Bacterial RNase P class A
Rfam family: Bacterial RNase P class A
About the family: Ribonuclease P (RNase P) is a ubiquitous endoribonuclease, found in archaea, bacteria and eukarya as well as chloroplasts and mitochondria. Its best characterised activity is the generation of mature 5'-ends of tRNAs by cleaving the 5'-leader elements of precursor-tRNAs.
Source: Rfam by way of RNAcentral